AUGCUCCGGGAUCUGAUGGGAGAGAUCAGCGAUUUGCUCGGUACCAUCGCCGUGAGCGACGUGUUUCUGCGACUCCGUUGGGUGGACUGGGCAACAGGGCUCGAUGCGAGGGUGAAGAAGGCGGCGGCUAAGCUCGAUAACAUUCUCGAGAAGGCGGUCCAGGAGCACAAGAGAAGCAAAGGAGACGACGGCGGCGAGGCUGGUGACCUCCUGGACGACUUGCUCUCGGUCGUCAAGGAUGGUGAUCAGGGGUUCAAGCUGGACCGGACUGAUGUCAAGGCAAUCACCUCAGACAUGUUCCUGGCAGGAACAAACACGACUUCUAAGAUGAUAGAAUGGACCAUGGCCGAGCUCGUCAAUAACCCAAGAGAAAUGGAGAAGGUGCAGCAAGAGGUGAGACGGGUUGUCUUGUCGGUGCACGAGCACGAGUCAUGGAGGAGGAUGUGGAGAAAAUGA
Molecule: ribosomal RNA, 456 nt
Filed under: Triticum aestivum (bread wheat)
Lineage: Eukaryota; Viridiplantae; Streptophyta; Magnoliopsida; Poales; Poaceae
Description: partial small subunit ribosomal RNA
Source: RNAcentral